Molecule: transfer-messenger RNA, 388 nt
Filed under: Anaerolineales
Lineage: Bacteria; Bacillati; Chloroflexota; Anaerolineae
Also listed under: 1 other name
Description: UBA12294 sp016223135 Standard tmRNA
Rfam family: transfer-messenger RNA
About the family: Bacterial tmRNA, also known as 10Sa RNA or SsrA, is named for its dual tRNA and mRNA-like properties. Its role is to liberate the mRNA from a stalled ribosome.
Source: RNAcentral
GGGGAUGACAGGCUUCGACGGGAGAGGCUGGUCCCGGAAUGCGAGCCGAGAGGCGCCGAACUCGUAAACUCAGCGCAAAAAAUCAAGUGCCAACCGCACUGCUUACGCUGCCAUGCCCCUCGCCGCUUAAUGCGACGGGAACAUGACAGUCAACAUCCCUAGAUGAUGUUGCGUCCCCCGGCACCCAUCCCCGUCGGGUGACGGGUCGGGCGAGACAAAGGCGGGGUGCCGCGCACGACGCCGCUGCAUGCGCGAAAGAUUAGCGGCUGGUCGCAGGGAGUUCCUGCCGGGUGAGAUCCCUGCGAUGACGAGCAUCAUCCGGCUACGCUCGUAGAGUUCCGAGGGUCGAAUCUUUCGGACGCGGGUUCAAUUCCCGCCAUCUCCACUC